Molecule: non-coding RNA, 102 nt
Organism: Pelobates cultripes (western spadefoot toad)
Lineage: Eukaryota; Metazoa; Chordata; Amphibia; Anura; Pelobatidae
Source: the annotation of a GenBank genome assembly
UCCUGGGCACUGGUGAGGUGGUCUGACCAGGAUUCAAACCUUCAUAGGUUUGGAGGUUCAUAGGUUUGAAUCCUAGUCAGACCACCUCACCAGUGCCCAGGA